This 2904-nucleotide ribosomal RNA is filed under the name Escherichia coli. RNAcentral describes it as "23S ribosomal RNA". It matches the Rfam family "Bacterial large subunit ribosomal RNA". Lineage: Bacteria; Pseudomonadati; Pseudomonadota; Gammaproteobacteria; Enterobacterales; Enterobacteriaceae. RNAcentral also lists the same sequence under 2 other names. The record is from RNAcentral.
GGUUAAGCGACUAAGCGUACACGGUGGAUGCCCUGGCAGUCAGAGGCGAUGAAGGACGUGCUAAUCUGCGAUAAGCGUCGGUGAGGUGAUAUGAACCGUUAUAACCGGCGAUUUCCGAAUGGGGAAACCCAGUGUGUUUCGACACACUAUCAUUAACUGAAUCCAUAGGUUAAUGAGGCGAACCGGGGGAACUGAAACAUCUAAGUACCCCGAGGAAAAGAAAUCAACCGAGAUUCCCCCAGUAGCGGCGAGCGAACGGGGAGGAGCCCAGAGCCUGAAUCAGUGUGUGUGUUAGUGGAAGCGUCUGGAAAGGCGUGCGAUACAGGGUGACAGCCCCGUACACAAAAAUGCACAUAUUGUGAGCUCGAUGAGUAGGGCGGGACACGUGGUAUCCUGUCUGAAUAUGGGGGGACCAUCCUCCAAGGCUAAAUACUCCUGACUGACCGAUAGUGAACCAGUACCGUGAGGGAAAGGCGAAAAGAACCCCGGCGAGGGGAGUGAAAAAGAACCUGAAACCGUGUACGUACAAGCAGUGGGAGCCUCUUAAUGGGGUGACUGCGUACCUUUUGUAUAAUGGGUCAGCGACUUAUAUUCUGUAGCAAGGUUAACCGAAUAGGGGAGCCGAAGGGAAACCGAGUCUUAACUGGGCGUUAAGUUGCAGGGUAUAGACCCGAAACCCGGUGAUCUAGCCAUGGGCAGGUUGAAGGUUGGGUAACACUAACUGGAGGACCGAACCGACUAAUGUUGAAAAAUUAGCGGAUGACUUGUGGCUGGGGGUGAAAGGCCAAUCAAACCGGGAGAUAGCUGGUUCUCCCCGAAAGCUAUUUAGGUAGCGCCUCGUGAAUUCAUCUCCGGGGGUAGAGCACUGUUUCGGCAAGGGGGUCAUCCCGACUUACCAACCCGAUGCAAACUGCGAAUACCGGAGAAUGUUAUCACGGGAGACACACGGCGGGUGCUAACGUCCGUCGUGAAGAGGGAAACAACCCAGACCGCCAGCUAAGGUCCCAAAGUCAUGGUUAAGUGGGAAACGAUGUGGGAAGGCCCAGACAGCCAGGAUGUUGGCUUAGAAGCAGCCAUCAUUUAAAGAAAGCGUAAUAGCUCACUGGUCGAGUCGGCCUGCGCGGAAGAUGUAACGGGGCUAAACCAUGCACCGAAGCUGCGGCAGCGACACUAUGUGUUGUUGGGUAGGGGAGCGUUCUGUAAGCCUGUGAAGGUGGCCUGUGAGGGUUGCUGGAGGUAUCAGAAGUGCGAAUGCUGACAUAAGUAACGAUAAAGCGGGUGAAAAGCCCGCUCGCCGGAAGACCAAGGGUUCCUGUCCAACGUUAAUCGGGGCAGGGUGAGUCGACCCCUAAGGCGAGGCCGAAAGGCGUAGUCGAUGGGAAACAGGUUAAUAUUCCUGUACUUGGUGUUACUGCGAAGGGGGGACGGAGAAGGCUAUGUUGGCCGGGCGACGGUUGUCCCGGUUUAAGCGUGUAGGCUGGUUUUCCAGGCAAAUCCGGAAAACCAAGGCUGAGGCGUGAUGACGAGGCACUACGGUGCUGAAGCGACAAAUGCCCUGCUUCCAGGAAAAGCCUCUAAGCAUCAGGUAACAUCAAAUCGUACCCCAAACCGACACAGGUGGUCAGGUAGAGAAUACCAAGGCGCUUGAGAGAACUCGGGUGAAGGAACUAGGCAAAAUGGUGCCGUAACUUCGGGAGAAGGCACGCUGAUAUGUAGGUGAAGCGACUUGCUCGUGGAGCUGAAAUCAGUCGAAGAUACCAGCUGGCUGCAACUGUUUAUUAAAAACACAGCACUGUGCAAACACGAAAGUGGACGUAUACGGUGUGACGCCUGCCCGGUGCCGGAAGGUUAAUUGAUGGGGUUAGCGGUAACGCGAAGCUCUUGAUCGAAGCCCCGGUAAACGGCGGCCGUAACUAUAACGGUCCUAAGGUAGCGAAAUUCCUUGUCGGGUAAGUUCCGACCUGCACGAAUGGCGUAAUGAUGGCCAGGCUGUCUCCACCCGAGACUCAGUGAAAUUGAACUCGCUGUGAAGAUGCAGUGUACCCGCGGCAAGACGGAAAGACCCCGUGAACCUUUACUAUAGCUUGACACUGAACAUUGAGCCUUGAUGUGUAGGAUAGGUGGGAGGCUUUGAAGUGUGGACGCCAGUCUGCAUGGAGCCGACCUUGAAAUACCACCCUUUAAUGUUUGAUGUUCUAACGUUGGCCCGUAAUCCGGGUUGCGGACAGUGUCUGGUGGGUAGUUUGACUGGGGCGGUCUCCUCCUAAAGAGUAACGGAGGAGCACGAAGGUUGGCUAAUCCUGGUCGGACAUCAGGAGGUUAGUGCAAUGGCAUAAGCCAGCUUGACUGCGAGCGUGACGGCGCGAGCAGGUGCGAAAGCAGGUCAUAGUGAUCCGGUGGUUCUGAAUGGAAGGGCCAUCGCUCAACGGAUAAAAGGUACUCCGGGGAUAACAGGCUGAUACCGCCCAAGAGUUCAUAUCGACGGCGGUGUUUGGCACCUCGAUGUCGGCUCAUCACAUCCUGGGGCUGAAGUAGGUCCCAAGGGUAUGGCUGUUCGCCAUUUAAAGUGGUACGCGAGCUGGGUUUAGAACGUCGUGAGACAGUUCGGUCCCUAUCUGCCGUGGGCGCUGGAGAACUGAGGGGGGCUGCUCCUAGUACGAGAGGACCGGAGUGGACGCAUCACUGGUGUUCGGGUUGUCAUGCCAAUGGCACUGCCCGGUAGCUAAAUGCGGAAGAGAUAAGUGCUGAAAGCAUCUAAGCACGAAACUUGCCCCGAGAUGAGUUCUCCCUGACUCCUUGAGAGUCCUGAAGGAACGUUGAAGACGACGACGUUGAUAGGCCGGGUGUGUAAGCGCAGCGAUGCGUUGAGCUAACCGGUACUAAUGAACCGUGAGGCUUAACCUU